UCCCUUAUAGCUCAGUCGGUAAAGAAUCUGCCUGUAAAGCAGGAGACCUGGGUUUGAUUCCUGGGUUCGAUUCCUGGGUUGGGAA
This is a non-coding RNA of Bos taurus (domestic cattle), 85 nucleotides long. Lineage: Eukaryota; Metazoa; Chordata; Mammalia; Artiodactyla; Bovidae. The record is from Rfam.